Molecule: ribosomal RNA, 618 nt
Filed under: uncultured Ascomycota
Lineage: Eukaryota; Fungi; Ascomycota
Description: LSU rRNA
Rfam family: Eukaryotic large subunit ribosomal RNA
Source: RNAcentral
GUGAAAUUGUUGAAAGGGAAGCGCUUGCAACCAGACCUGCCUGCGGUUGCUCAUCCGGGCAAAAGCCCGGUGCACUCUUCCGCUGUCAGGCCAGCAUCAGUUUGGGCGGUCGGAUAAAGGCUUCGGGAAUGUAGCUCCUCUCGGGGAGUGUUAUAGCCCGUUGCGAAAUGCGGCCAGCUUGGACUGAGGUCCGCGCUUCGGCUAGGAUGCUGGCGUAAUGGUUGUAAGCGGCCCGUCUUGAAACACGGACCAAGGAGUCUAACAUCUGUGCGAGUGUUUGGGUGUCAAACCCGUACGCGUAAUGAAAGUGAACGGAGGCGGGAACCUCUCGGGGUGCACCGUCGACCGAUCCUGAUGUCUUCGGAUGGAUUUGAGUAAGAGCAUAGCUGUUGGGACCCGAAAGAUGGUGAACUAUGCCUGAAUAGGGUGAAGCCAGAGGAAACUCUGGUGGAGGCUCGCAGCGGUUCUGACGUGCAAAUCGAUCGUCAAAUUUGGGCAUAGGGGCGAAAGACUAAUCGAACUAUCUAGUAGCUGGUUCCUGCCGAAGUUUCCCUCAGGAUAGCAGUAACGUUUUCAGUUUUAUGAGGUAAAGCGAAUGAAUAGAGGCCUGGGGGUUGA